UACGUAGGGGGCAAGCGUUGUCCGGAAUCAUUGGGCGUAAAGAGCGUGUAGGCGGCCCGGUAAGUCCGCUGUGAAAGUCCAGGGCUCAACCCUGGGAUGCCGGUGGAUACUGUCGGGCUCGAGUCCGGAAGAGGAGUGUGGAAUUCCUGGUGUAGCGGUGAAAUGCGCAGAUAUCAGGAGGAACACCGGCGGCGAAGGCGGCCCUCUGGAUCGUUGCUGACGCUGAGACGCGAAAGCGUGGGGAGCAAACAGG
Molecule: ribosomal RNA, 253 nt
Filed under: uncultured bacterium
Lineage: Bacteria
Description: partial 16S ribosomal RNA
Rfam family: Bacterial small subunit ribosomal RNA
Source: RNAcentral